Molecule: long non-coding RNA, 2373 nt
Filed under: Olea europaea subsp. europaea
Lineage: Eukaryota; Viridiplantae; Streptophyta; Magnoliopsida; Lamiales; Oleaceae
Source: RNAcentral
CUAAUUCUAACUAAAAGUAAAAGAGGCGAUUGUGAAUUUACUGUUCACAAGCCGAAUUUGUGAUCUCAGCCACCUUGAAUUGAGCCAGUUUAAUUGAGCUACUUGGAAGUGAGCAUGUUGUGGUCAGCUGAGGCGAUUGAGUUGAGCCGAAUUAAGUGAGCUGCUUGGAAAUUGGUGGGUUUAUAUAUGGGAUCUUCUUGUCUUCUUUCUCUUUCUAAUAUUCACCAAAGGCUUCGUUUUUUCCUCUUUCUUUCUAGAUCUGAAAAUCAUUCUUAAAAUCUAUGAAGACUUGAGUAAAGAUUUUGGGAAUAUGUUUUCUUUUCUGGGUAAGCUUCAAAUUCAGUACAAUUUGUGGGAAUCUAUUCUCUUCUUCGGCUAAGUUUCAAGUUCCGGCGAUUUGUCUCUAUGUGUAUCUAUAGUUCAUUUUCUCUUUCAGUGAGCAUCAAUAAAUGUGUGACUUCUUGAAAGUCUCAAAUCUAACUCUGAGCACAAAGAGAAACCCAAAAAGGUAAAAUUAAGAAAAUAGGAGAAAAUUAUUUUUACAAAUUUAUAGUUUUUGAAAUGGAAUAAGAUGUACUGGGUUUUAUUUGAGUACUUCAUUUGAAGUUUCACCCGUUAAUUCUUUUUUUUUUUUUAUUGCAUGCGUUGGAAUUUUCCAGAUUAUUCUUUCUGGGUUUUGUUAAAGGUGGAGAUUGACAAUGACCCCACCGUUUGUUUUCUUCUUUUAAUCAUUUCACGGGAGGCUUGUGAAUUGUACCUAAUUUUUUUUUUUUACACUGCUUUCUAGAUUUGAAACAGAAAUUGCCCUCAUCACAUACAGCCUCUCCACCAUGAAAUUCUCCGACUUCUCCGCCUUGCGUUAUCUCGUACCAUGUUUUUCUACACCAACAUUUUCCACUUUAUUGAAGCACUUUUCAAGUUUAUUAAUCUUUAGCUUUGUUCUCAUUUCACAUCCAUGUUUGUUUGUUCGUUUUUGUUUUUAUUUUUUUUAUUUGUAAUUUGAAACCAAAUCCAUGUAAAAAUUUGGCCGGGGGGGGGGGGGGGGGGGGGGGUGUUAAGUGAACAAACCUCGAUGUUAUAUUUACUUGGUUGGAUCUUGAUUAGAUCUAAAUAAAUCAUUACAGACUUACUUUGAACUGUUUGAAAGAUUUUCUAUUGUUGUUUAUAUUUAUUUUGUUAGGUGGGUUUUGUGUUGUGAAUUUUCUUGAAUUGAAAUGGGUUGUGGAAGACAUGACAACUCAUAAACAAGCUUCGACAAUGGCAGAAGAUAUAUGGACAAGGGGGUGUUUGAUAGUCAUUCAUUUUUACGUAAAAAUACAUUUUAAAAUAGUAAAUCGGUGUGAAAUGUGUGAUUGAAAAAUAAGGAAAAGUUUUUUAUUCGCGUGUAAUAUUAUUUUAAUAAAGAAUAUGUGGUUGAAAAGAAGGGAAAAAAAUGCAUUUUGAAAAAAAAUGACUACCAAACGGGGCCUAAGUAUGAAUAUCAUUCUUGCAAGUUUUCUUAAUUCAUUUUUUACAAGUUGGCUUAAAUGUUAAUUUUGAGGGAACAACUAUUGCCGCCCCAAAUUUGGGAGACCACAAAAUAAGAUACCUUAUUAGAAGAAGAAGGGCAAAUGCUCGAAUUAGAUUGCCUAAUUUUUUUAAGAGACUUUAUUGCAAGAAAAAUUCUUCUUCGAAUAUGGAGAAGAAGUAUUACUAGGAGAAUCAUUAAAACCCUAUGAAAUAAAUUAAAAAGAAACAGAAUCAUAAUUUAUCUCAAAAGUUUAAAUAUUGUUAAUAAGUUCAAGAAAUGUGAAUUAAAGGCUAGAACCUGAAGAAAUUUUGGGCAUCCUAGUCAGCAAAAAUGGUACAAAGUUAUCACAAAAUUCUUGGAGGGAAAAACAAAGAGAGAGCUACUAUAGCAGUUGUGCUUGUGGAGGUAUCAAGAACAUGGGUUUGUUGUCACUGGCAAAAAAUGUCACAUUUUCGUACAAGGAUUCUCUUUCCGCUUUCUUUAAUUGAGAUGAUGCUCCACUACACCACCUCCUCACACACAAUACCGUUGAAUUUUUUGAUACAAAACUCUUCCUCAAAUAGCAAUGUAUUGGAGGUACAAGAGGAGACAAAAAGCUUACAGCUUCUUUCUCUCUGCAUUUUCUUUAGUUUGUGGGUGUUUCUCUCACAAGCACAUUUCACAGCUGAGAGUUCCAUAUAUUUCUUUAAUAGCCUAUUCGAGGAGGUUAUUACAUUCUUAUCUUUAAAGUAAAUGCAUCCACUUUAUAUAGGGAAUGUAUAUUUCGAACAUAAGUAAAAAAAAAAAAGGCUUCAGUGUCUAAGAAAAAUAAAAGAUGAAGAGAAGGGCGCAUUGACAAUGCGAAAUUGGAUAUCAACAUACAG